Molecule: ribosomal RNA, 304 nt
Filed under: uncultured bacterium
Lineage: Bacteria
Description: partial 16S ribosomal RNA
Rfam family: Bacterial small subunit ribosomal RNA
Source: RNAcentral
CAGCAGUCGCCACGGGAAUACGGAGGGUGCAAGCGUUAAUCGGAAUUACUGGGCGUAAAGCGCACGCAGGCGGUCUGACAAGUCAGAUGUGAAAUCCCCGGGCUUAACCUGGGAACUGCAUUUGAAACUGUCAGGCUGGAGUCUUGUAGAGGGGGGUAGAAUUCCAGGUGUAGCGGUGAAAUGCGUAGAGAUCUGGAGGAAUACCGGUGGCGAAGGCGGCCCCCUGGACAAAGACUGACGCUCAGGUGCGAAAGCGUGGGGAGCAAACAGGAUUAGAUACCCCGGUAGUCCCUGUCUCUUAUAC